UCUCAAGAGAUCCACCCACCUCGGCCUCCCAAAGUGCUGGGAUUACCUGCAUGAGCCACUGCACCUGGCUUCAGCCCUUUGUUUUAUCCAAGAGAAGGUCAAGAGCAGAUAAAUUGGAUCUGUGCCCGCAGAGAGAGCCUGCUCCAGCCUCUUUGCUACAGCCUUGAGUCUUCUGCUAAGAAAAGACACAGAGGCAAAGAGAAACACAUAGAGAGGAGAAUGCCUCGUGAAAAUGGAGACCGAGAUUGGUGCAAUGUGUCCACAAGCCAGGGAAUGCCAACGUGGCCAGCAACCACCAGAAGCUGGGAGAGAGGCAUGGAACAG
RNAcentral lists this long non-coding RNA (324 nucleotides) under Homo sapiens (human). Its description in RNAcentral is "HSALNT0332746". Lineage: Eukaryota; Metazoa; Chordata; Mammalia; Primates; Hominidae. The record is from RNAcentral.